This 450-nucleotide ribosomal RNA is filed under the name uncultured bacterium. Its description in RNAcentral is "partial 16S ribosomal RNA". It matches the Rfam family "Bacterial small subunit ribosomal RNA", at positions 354 to 796 of the family's 1533-position model. The record is from RNAcentral.
GUAGGGAAUCUUCGGCAAUGGACGAAAGUCUGACCGAGCAACGCCGCGUGAGUGAAGAAGGUUUUCGGAUCGUAAAACUCUGUUGGUAGAGAAGAACGUUGGUGAGAGUGGAAAGCUCAUCAAGUGACGGUAACUACCCAGAAAGGGACGGCUAACUACGUGCCAGCAGCCGCGGUAAUACGUAGGUCCCGAGCGUUGUCCGGAUUUAUUGGGCGUAAAGCGAGCGCAGGUGGUUUAUUAAGUCUGGUGUAAAAGGCAGUGGCUCAACCAUUGUAUGCAUUGGAAACUGGUAGACUUGAGUGCAGGAGAGGAGAGUGGAAUUCCAUGUGUAGCGGUGAAAUGCGUAGAUAUAUGGAGGAACACCGGUGGCGAAAGCGGUUCUCUGGCCUGUAACUGACACUGAGGCUCGAAAGCGUGGGGAGCAAACAGGAUUAGAUACCCUUGUAGUCC